GGGAAUGUGGCUCAGUGGUAGAGUGCUUGCCUAGCAUGCAUGAAGCCAAUUCCA
Molecule: transfer RNA, 54 nt
Filed under: Dipodomys ordii (Ord's kangaroo rat)
Lineage: Eukaryota; Metazoa; Chordata; Mammalia; Rodentia; Heteromyidae
Source: Rfam by way of RNAcentral